This 253-nucleotide ribosomal RNA is filed under the name uncultured bacterium. RNAcentral's name for it is "partial 16S ribosomal RNA". It matches the Rfam family "Bacterial small subunit ribosomal RNA", at positions 524 to 776 of the family's 1533-position model. The record is from RNAcentral.
AACGUAGGUGGCGAGCGUUAUCCGGAUUUACUGGGCGUAAAGCGUGUGCAGGCGGGGUAUCAAGUGGUGUAUGAAAUCGCUCGGCUUAACCGGGCGCGGUUAUGCCAGACUGAUACUCUGGAGUGCGGGAGAGGGGCGUGGAAUUCCGGGUGUAGUGGUGAAAUGCGUAGAGAUCCGGAGGAACACCGGUGGCGAAGGCGGAUCUCUGGGCCAUUACUGACGCUGAGGAGCGAAAGCGUGGGGAGCGAACAGG